Molecule: long non-coding RNA, 634 nt
Organism: Quercus lobata
Lineage: Eukaryota; Viridiplantae; Streptophyta; Magnoliopsida; Fagales; Fagaceae
Exons: 3
Source: RefSeq, a predicted model, not a curated record
UCCACAUCUUUUAUCUUCUUUGGCUGCCCCAAAAGUCUUCUCAUUUAUCUUAUCUCCUUGGCUGCACCAGACCAGAAAGUCCAGCCCUUUUUCUUUCUCUAUUCCUCUUUCUUUGUUCUUCUUUCUCUCUUCUUCCUUUGCUCUUACACGGCAGCCCUCUCUCUCUCACCAAAACAAUAUAUCUCUCUCUAAAGAAGAAAUUAAAAGGUUAAUACUAAAAUUUCAGCUUCAAAGUUUAUGAGUGGCGAGAACGAGAAUACGGACACUUGAGCUCCUCUUGUACAAUCUCUCGCUUGUUCUGUUUUCAGUGCACAAGUUCUUCCUGGAAGCAGCGAGAGUGUUAGAAGUGGCAAGGAUUCUGUGUUUUCUCGUUUGUUAGAAUGUAGAGUUUUGUUGUAUAGUAGUUAGCUCUUUUGUUGUAUAGAAGGAAUCAAGAUGUACUUGAUCCUUUGAGCACAGAUAUAAUUCGGUACUUUAUUUUGUUUUGAACCCCAAUUGUAUAUCUUUAGGGUUAGGCUUGUAAUAAGAGUUUUGCAAAACAUUUAGCUAUGUAAUAUUUACCCGAAUACCUUAAGUUUCAGCCAGGUGGUAAUUUUCCAAGUUCAAAGGAAAUGAAAUUUCAAGGUUUCCAUCA